CUCCUUGGUUUCUGAAGGACUCCCCUCCAACCUGUCUGUAGGUAUGUUUGUGUAACCAGACACUGAGAGUAGCUGUCUGCCGAGGAAUUAACUCGGCAACCCCCAAAGCUUAGUUUGCAUUCAAUAGAGGUGUUUGUUUUUCAGGUUUAAAUCUCCAGACGGGUUGAAGAAGUCGCCCAAAAGGAACCACUUCGCAAAUUUUGUUUCCUCCCUUGAAAUCCCGCUGGACGUGGAGCAGAUCUUCACUUGAAGACAGCGAAGGACAAUUUGUGGAAGGCUUAAUGAAGUGAAAGCAAGAGGUCCUGUGGAGGAGGCAAGGGUGGGAGAGAUAUGGGAUCAUAAAAUUUGGCAAAGCAAGUGAUUGAGUGCAGUGUCUUUGUUAGUUUGUCAGCAUCGCAGUUACAAGUAAAAUAUGCUUGUAAAAU
This 425-nucleotide long non-coding RNA is filed under the name Cyanistes caeruleus (blue tit). Its description in RNAcentral is "lncRNA (ENSCCEG00000010986.1)". The record is from RNAcentral. Lineage: Eukaryota; Metazoa; Chordata; Aves; Passeriformes; Paridae.